CAGCAUGUAAUUUAAUUAAAAAUUUAAAUUUUGGGGAUUUAAUAUAACAUAUUUGUUUUUGCUGA
This 65-nucleotide transfer RNA is filed under the name Mesargus serrata. RNAcentral's name for it is "tRNA-Pro". The record is from RNAcentral. Lineage: Eukaryota; Metazoa; Arthropoda; Insecta; Hemiptera; Cicadellidae.